AGAGAGCACGCGAAUCGAGGAG
This 22-nucleotide microRNA is filed under the name Pristionchus pacificus. RNAcentral's name for it is "ppc-miR-8364l-3p". Lineage: Eukaryota; Metazoa; Nematoda; Chromadorea; Rhabditida; Neodiplogasteridae. The record is from miRBase by way of RNAcentral.